AUUGAACGCUGGCGGCAGGCCUAACACAUGCAAGUCGAGCGGAUGAAGGGAGCUUGCUCCUGGAUUCAGCGGCGGACGGGUGAGUAAUGCCUAGGAAUCUACCUGGUAGUGGGGGAUAACGUCCGGAAACGGGCGCUAAUACCGCAUCCGUCCUGAGGGAGAAAGUGGGGGAUCUUCGGACCUCACGCUAUCAGAUGAGCCUAGGUCGGAUUAGCUAGUUGGUGGGGUAAAGGCCUACCAAGGCGACGAUCCGUAACUGGUCUGAGAGGAUGAUCAGUCACACUGGAACUGAGACACGGUCCAGACUCCUACGGGAGGCAGCAGUGGGGAAUAUUGGACAAUGGGCGAAAGCCUGAUCCAGCCAUGCCGCGUGUGUGAAGAAGGUCUUCGGAUUGUAAAGCACUUUAAGUUGGGAGGAAGGGCAGUAAGUUAAUACCUUGCUGUUUUGACGUUACCAACAGAAUAAGCACCGGCUAACUUCGUG
This 484-nucleotide ribosomal RNA is filed under the name uncultured bacterium. RNAcentral describes it as "partial 16S ribosomal RNA". It matches the Rfam family "Bacterial small subunit ribosomal RNA", at positions 30 to 507 of the family's 1533-position model. The record is from RNAcentral.